GACGCAAGUUCCGUCUCGCCCGAUCCCUCAGGGCCUCGGACGCAAGUUCUGUCUCGCCCGAUCCUUCUGGGCUCGGGCGCCGGAUUCCUAUCCACCAGGACAGCAAGACUUUGACCACACGGCGCCCGUACCCACGACGUGACAAGCGCGAUGACCCCCAUACCGCAGCAGGGCAGGGUGGCAACUGUUCCAACCACCCUGGGCACUGCAGCCUCACCUCUUUCACUGUGUGCCCUUACUUCUUUCACUGUGGCGUACUGCCUCACAGUAGAAAGGGAAUGGGGGAGGUUAAUCAGCACCACUAUUUGAGGUCUUUUCCCACUAUUGACGGGAUGAUCAGCAGUACCGGCGAUCCGACCCUCAUGACUCCUACAGGGCUCGGUAACCCUUCACAAAAGCAGCCAUCCCUCAAGGACAAGAUGAACAGGCUUCAACAGGGUCGGGACUGUAACUCGUCCACCCGGCAGAGAGAAAUCUACUCAUGUAAAUCUCUGUCUCCCCUUGAGGCUAUAAAAGGGGAGCCAGGGCUCAUAGCUAGGAUCAGGUUCCCGCAAUCACAAUACUCUAUCACAGAACAACGACCAACAUUUUGUCCACCACCAAGUCGAGACCUGGGACUUAGCCCUCUCUCGCAACCUGCUUGUACCCCCUACCACAAGCACCUUUAGGUGCAAGGCUAUACAGACCCCCGAUCUCACUGGACGUAGGGCAUUCCAGGCCCGAACCAGUAUAAACCCUCUGUGUCUCACUUGCAUCACCAUCCAGGCUAGGGUAGUCACGCAAACUUAUACUUGCUUGUGUCUAGACCACGAGUCUAGACGUCGACACUCUUGGCAAAGCAUAAGGCCUACUUAUCUCCCAAAUACCCAUCCCCAUAACAGUUUGAUUGCAGCAGAAGUUACUUCCACCAGUUUGUGAUUAGUAAUUGCGCAGAUUCACUUUUAAUGAAGCUGCUGGUCCUGAUUUUGGAAAGGAGGCUUGGGGUGUUUGCUUUCAACAAUUCUGUAGGCUGGUUGAAAUGAAAGGUGUUAUGAGGAGGGUGAUCUCUUUGGACAACAGCUGCCAUGUAAAUGCUGUGGGAUGCAUGAUGGAACAACACAUCAACACCAGAAAAAGGGUUUUGAGGAUGCCAGAUCAUGAGUUUUCUUGUGCCUGAAAAAGGGUUGUAGCAGCAUCAGUUGCUUGUAACCCUGAAAAGUUCAGUGCAUCAUUUCUUUGCAAACCAAAUGAAGCCUACUGCACUUGGAUUUUGGAUCAUGAAAAAUGGGAAGGUGAGUUUCAGUAGUUUUAAUUUGCGAUCAUAGCAUUAUGUUGAAACUCAAUUCCCAAAAUGCUAUCAAAUUUGUGGCAUUGUCAAAAUAGCAUCGGCUAUGCCACACGUCAUUUUGUCAAUGUCAGAACUUUGGAUGGCAUUGUGGCAAUCAGGCCAGCAACAAAACACUAUGAUGGCAUUUUUUUCCUGUGGAUUGGACUUUCUCCUUAAAUCUUGCAUAGUAUUUGGUCAUAUCGGUAUUGGUUCCAUAAGAAAGGACAUAUUGUGAUAUUUUAUGUUUCAACUCUCUUACACCUGAUAUCAUAAAAUAUCUGGGACUUUAUAGCUCGCGAUUCCUGAAUUAUCUCCACCAUGAAUGUAUGAACCUUCACUAGAAGCCUACAGCUUAGUUUCAGAGGCUUGGCCAUGAUGCCUUUCUGUUCCUCUGUGGUUCUUCAAAAGAAAUCUUUCAUUCAACUAAGAUAUCUAACCUGAGUAUUUGAUGCCCAUUGUGACAUGUUUCUUGUUUUAAGAUGUCAAGAUGCUUAUGGUUGAACUAGUCUGUUAGAAAAUGAACGUUAGAUACUUAGAUUCAACUAAUGAAAAUACUCUUCUGCAAGCUUAUUAGAUGAUGAGUAUAUUGAUUCCUUAAUCUAGAUAUUGAUCUACAAAUGAGCACUACCUUCUUAACAUAGCAAGAUCGCCUGAUAGACUACUCUGUAGAGGUAAUAAUUAUUGUGUUAAUUACUCAAGGA
Molecule: long non-coding RNA, 2007 nt
Organism: Sorghum bicolor (sorghum)
Lineage: Eukaryota; Viridiplantae; Streptophyta; Magnoliopsida; Poales; Poaceae
Exons: 4
Source: RefSeq, a predicted model, not a curated record